Molecule: ribosomal RNA, 253 nt
Filed under: uncultured bacterium
Lineage: Bacteria
Description: partial 16S ribosomal RNA
Rfam family: Bacterial small subunit ribosomal RNA
Source: RNAcentral
UACGUAGGGUGCAAGCGUUGUCCGGAAUUAUUGGGCGUAAAGAGCUCGUAGGCGGUCUGUUGCGUCUGCUGUGAAAACCCGGGGCUUAACCCCUGGCUUGCAGUGGAUACGGACAGACUAGAGGUAGGUAGGGGAGAAUGGAAUUCCCGGUGUAGCGGUGAAAUGCGCAGAUAUCGGGAGGAACACCGGUGGCGAAGGCGGUUCUCUGGGCCUGUACUGACGCUGAGGAGCGAAAGCGUGGGGAGCGAACAGG